Molecule: ribosomal RNA, 517 nt
Filed under: uncultured bacterium
Lineage: Bacteria
Description: bacterial SSU rRNA
Rfam family: Bacterial small subunit ribosomal RNA
Source: RNAcentral
ACGACGCUGGCGGCGUGCCUAAUACAUGCAAGUCGAACGGUCUUUCUAUGGAAGCUUGCUUCCACUGAGAAGAUAGUGGCGAACGGGUGAGUAACACGUGGGUAACCUGCCCAUAAGAGGGGGGAUAACAUCCGGAAACGGGUGCUAAUACCGCAUAGUUUUUCUUGAUCGCAUGAUUGAGAAAGGAAAGACGGCCUUUGUGCUGUCGCUUAUGGAUGGACCCGCGGCGUAUUAGUUAGUUGGUGAGGUAACGGCUCACCAAGACGAUGAUACGUAGCCGACCUGAGAGGGUGAUCGGCCACAUUGGGACUGAGACACGGCCCAAACUCCUACGGGAGGCAGCAGUAGGGAAUCUUCCGCAAUGGACGAAAGUCUGACGGAGCAACGCCGCGUGAGUGAAAGAAGGUUUUCGGAUCGUAAAACUCUGUUGUCAGAGAAGAACAAGUUGGAGAGUAACUGCUCCAGCCUUGACGGUAUCUGACCAGAAAGCCACGGCUAACUACGUGCCAGCCGCCGC